Molecule: ribosomal RNA, 619 nt
Filed under: Saccharomyces cf. cerevisiae/paradoxus
Lineage: Eukaryota; Fungi; Ascomycota; Saccharomycetes; Saccharomycetales; Saccharomycetaceae
Description: LSU rRNA
Rfam family: Eukaryotic large subunit ribosomal RNA
Source: RNAcentral
UUGCAUAUUUCAUAAGCGGAGGAAAAGAAACCAACCGGGAUUGCCUUAGUAACGGCGAGUGAAGCGGCAAAAGCUCAAAUUUGAAAUCUGGUACCUUCGGUGCCCGAGUUGUAAUUUGGAGAGGGCAACUUUGGGGCCGUUCCUUGUCUAUGUUCCUUGGAACAGGACGUCAUAGAGGGUGAGAAUCCCGUGUGGCGAGGAGUGCGGUUCUUUGUAAAGUGCCUUCGAAGAGUCGAGUUGUUUGGGAAUGCAGCUCUAAGUGGGUGGUAAAUUCCAUCUAAAGCUAAAUAUUGGCGAGAGACCGAUAGCGAACAAGUACAGUGAUGGAAAGAUGAAAAGAACUUUGAAAAGAGAGUGAAAAAGUACGUGAAAUUGUUGAAAGGGAAGGGCAUUUGAUCAGACAUGGUGUUUUGUGCCCUCUGCUCCUUGUGGGUAGGGGAAUCUCGCAUUUCACUGGGCCAGCAUCAGUUUUGGUGGCAGGAUAAAUCCAUAGGAAUGUAGCUUGCCUCGGUAAGUAUUAUAGCCUGUGGGAAUACUGCCAGCUGGGACUGAGGACUGCGACGUAAGUCAAGGAUGCUGGCAUAAUGGUUAUAUGCCGCCCGUCUUGAACCCGGACCAA